AUUGAACGCUGGCGGCAUGCCUUACACAUGCAAGUCGAACGGCAGCACGGGGGCAACCCUGGUGGCGAGUGGCGAACGGGUGAGUAAUAUAUCGGAACGUGCCCAGUCGUGGGGGAUAACGUAGCGAAAGUUACGCUAAUACCGCAUACGAUCUACGGAUGAAAGCGGGGGAUCGCAAGACCUCGCGCGAUUGGAGCGGCCGAUAUCAGAUUAGGUAGUUGGUGGGGUAAAGGCUCACCAAGCCAACGAUCUGUAGCUGGUCUGAGAGGACGACCAGCCACACUGGAACUGAGACACGGUCCAGACUCCUACGGGAGGCAGCAGUGGGGAAUAUUGCACAAUGGGCGAAAGCCUGAUGCAGCAACGCCGCGUGAGGGAUGAAGGCCUUCGGGUUGUAAACCUCUUUUAGCAGGGAAGAAGCGAAAGUGACGGUACCUGCAGAAAAAGCACCGGCUAACUACGUG
This 464-nucleotide ribosomal RNA is filed under the name uncultured bacterium. RNAcentral's name for it is "bacterial SSU rRNA". It matches the Rfam family "Bacterial small subunit ribosomal RNA", at positions 29 to 507 of the family's 1533-position model. The record is from RNAcentral.